GAGUCAGUCAUCUGCAAGAUAUGAAGAUGGAGAACAUUUGUACCCAACACAAACAACAUCCUUUCAUUCUUAUCCAUGUAAUAAUUUCACUUUAAGCGGCCAAGGAGGGAAAGGCUUGCUAAAAGAGAGGAACAAGAAGCCAAUAGUCCAUGGGGGAACAGAGACUGAAUCCUGGCAGAAAAGACUUGCUGAACCCCCUCUGGUGAAUGGCACCAUGAUGCCAGGUCAACUUUACCAGAUGAUGAAGCCCUUGACAGAUCCUCUUUAUUUUUGGGUACACCCUGUGGAUAGGCCAGGUACCUCCAGCGUUCCUAGUACCAAUGGUUGGGAACCACAGCUCACUAAUGGCCAUAAUGAUGACCUGAGUCCCAAUACUGUGAUUCAGAAUAAACCUCAAGAGUAAUGGCCUGUCUGACAGAAGCAUUCAUCACCUUGGGUCAGCAGAAGAGACCACUGCUCUGGUGGAUAAGCAGGCCUUGGACAAGGACCAAGUCACCAAAUGCCUUUAGUUAAUAGGUAGUACUGUGAGUGGUCAUUCAGUUUUCCAUUAUUUGCUGGUGAACUGGUAACUUGCUAACUGAAUUAUGGGUUUGGUUGUUUUCAUGCUCAGCAUUUUUUUUCACCAAAAGACAAAGGACCUAAUGACAUGGAGUCAAGGAGAUGCAAACUUAUAAAACGUGAUAAGAUAUUAUUAAGUAUAAGAUAUCUUGUUAAAGAAUAUUACAUGAGUGCCUCCCGAGUGGUGCAGCGGUCUAAGGCACUAAGGGUUCAAUCCCGGACUGUGUCGCAGCCGGCCGCGACCGGGAGUCCCAUGAGGCGG
RNAcentral lists this long non-coding RNA (820 nucleotides) under Salmo salar (Atlantic salmon). Its description in RNAcentral is "lncRNA (ENSSSAG00000102108.1)". Lineage: Eukaryota; Metazoa; Chordata; Actinopteri; Salmoniformes; Salmonidae. The record is from RNAcentral.